Long non-coding RNA from Suncus etruscus (white-toothed pygmy shrew), 423 nucleotides. RefSeq lists it as uncharacterized. The record is from RefSeq and is a predicted model, not a curated record. Lineage: Eukaryota; Metazoa; Chordata; Mammalia; Eulipotyphla; Soricidae. The transcript has 3 exons.
CCAAGCUGAAAGUUUACGAGAAAAGAGACGUGAAGCUUGGAGGCCUAGGACCUGACCUUGAGUCCACACGAGACAAAGUGAGUAAGUUAAUACAGCAAAAGGAAUAUGCAAAACAAGUGAAGGAAUACAACAUGAAGACACUCUCUCUCCUGUCAAAAACACCAACCGGCCAAAACUGAAAACAGGCCUGUCAUCCCUCGGCAAAAGGCUUUGGAAUAUGCUAAAACCCAUCCCCAAACCAAGUCAUCCAUGACUGACACCACAUCCAAGAAAAGAAAAAUUCUACCAAUGCUGAAGAAGAGGAACUUUACCUGAAAUCUCACUGCUGGAACUACUACAAAGCAGACAUAGAAAGGGAAAAAACAGGCUGUGGCGGGCCUUCAAAGUCCUCCAUAUUGUAUAGACAAAAUGUGUAGGAGAGCC